Non-coding RNA from Hordeum vulgare subsp. vulgare (domesticated barley), 126 nucleotides. Lineage: Eukaryota; Viridiplantae; Streptophyta; Magnoliopsida; Poales; Poaceae. The record is from Rfam.
CUAAUACUUUCUUCGUCCGGAAUUACUUGUCAUAAAAAAAAAUACAUCUAGACAUAUUUUAAUUUCAGAUACAUUCAUUUUUUUUUCAUUUUGAUGACAAGUAAUUUCAGACGGAGAGAGUAUUAA